This 1084-nucleotide long non-coding RNA is filed under the name Calidris pugnax (ruff). RNAcentral's name for it is "lncRNA (ENSCPUG00000010941.1)". The record is from RNAcentral. Lineage: Eukaryota; Metazoa; Chordata; Aves; Charadriiformes; Scolopacidae.
GGAGGCGGGGCGCUCCCCCCCUCGCCGGCCGUGAUUGGGCGGUGAGGAUGCGAAUUCGAAUCGGGGCAGUUGGCGGGUCGAGCGCCUGGCCGGCACGGCGGCUGCGGCGCAUGCGUACGGAGCGACACCCCCCCCCGGUGUGGGGGCGUUGCCAUGGCAACCGCCGGCCGUUCCCCUCAGGGCCGCCGCCAUGUUGCCGUGUCAGGGCCCAGCGCGGCGGUGGGAGCCGGUGGCCAGGGCUUCGCGGCGGUCUAGGCUCCACCGUGGGUUCUCAUUCCCACCGUCGCACCAGGUGCCAGCCUUCCAACGAUAUAGGCAGAGGGACUGAGAGCACCAUCAGCAGCUGUUUCUGCCAACUAAAAAUAAGUUGAACGAGCAAACAAAACAUGAAUAAUCAGCUCCCCAUGGAGACCUAAAUACCAGCAGGAGAUGGAUGCUCCUUGAGUCAUAGGUGAUCCACGGCACAGAGUCCCCUCAGGUAGAUCCCAUUCCUUCCAGCAGCAGAGGAAGGCGGGGAAGGUUAUGUUUGAGGAAUUAAUGCCAAAACUGAGGUGGGCACUGGGAGAUGGGAGUUGAGAUUUUCAGCUUUGGCCUGGUUUGUCCUCUCUGGAAUCAGACAGCAGAACAUCCAGGUGGUUUUAUCACUGACAGACAAAGCGUAUCAGAGGCUGACCGGUGUGCAUGGUGGGGCUCACGUUGCCAGAGCAUGGCCAUCUGGCAAGAUCUUCGAAAGCCUGUGGUGUCUGCAGCCCCUGCCCAGAGCUGGCAGAUGGGACAAGAGUGGGACCUGCGCCCUCUCCAACGGGCAGUUGAACACCAGGUUGGAUACACCGUCCUUCACGUGUCUGCGUCUCCUUGGAAAGGCAUCACUCAAUGAAGAGUCAGUCCCUACAGCAACAUCACAGCUAUAGUGCCUUCAGGAUCUAGCAUUGCUGCAGGCUCUGAUCUGGUGCCAUUUCGAAUACAAGGAUGCCUGAGGCUCAGAAAAAAAGAGUGCAGCAGGGAGUCAUUUUGCUACGAUUUUUACACAGUGUGUGAUUAUUCAGCCAAUAAACAUGAUAGCUUUGUAUUAUAACGUGUGAAG